UACGUAGGGUGCAAGCGUUGUCCGGAUUUAUUGGGUGUAAAGAGCUCGUAGGCGGUUUGUCGCGUCGGAUGUGAAAACCCAGGGCUCAACCCUGGGCCUGCAUUCGAUACGGGCAGACUAGAGUAUGGCAGGGGAGACUGGAAUUCCUGGUGUAGCGGUGAAAUGCGCAGAUAUCAGGAGGAACACCGGUGGCGAAGGCGGGUCUCUGGGCCUUACCUGACGCUGAGGAGCGAAAGCGUGGGGAGCGAACAGG
RNAcentral lists this ribosomal RNA (253 nucleotides) under uncultured bacterium. RNAcentral's name for it is "partial 16S ribosomal RNA". It matches the Rfam family "Bacterial small subunit ribosomal RNA", at positions 524 to 776 of the family's 1533-position model. The record is from RNAcentral.